This is a long non-coding RNA of Eutrema salsugineum, 1327 nucleotides long. RefSeq lists it as uncharacterized. The record is from RefSeq and is a predicted model, not a curated record. The transcript is spliced from 4 exons. Lineage: Eukaryota; Viridiplantae; Streptophyta; Magnoliopsida; Brassicales; Brassicaceae.
AAGGUAGAACACAAUCAGGCGUGAUAGAAAACAGUUUGGAUGCAUAUUCAACAAUGAAAAAGCUUCCUUUGCCAGUUUAUCAGCCACACGAUUUCCAUCUCUAGGAUAAAAGCAAACUUUAAAUGCAUAAGGGGAGCUAAGAUCAGCUGCAGAUCCUGAUGGUUUAGUUAAAGUCUUUAAAACACAAAACUCUAUAAUACAAUCAGAUUUAUCAAAGUUGGGAAGAAAGAGAGGAAAUAAGAAAACCGUAUCUUUUCUACUUCUCUUCCUCUCUCGCUCUAACUAGAAGAUGGGAUAUUUCUCCAACAAGAUCUCCGAACUCAAGGCAGGAGAUCUACUCAUACCGUUCUUAUUUGUACAUCCAUCACGGUUCCAUCUCUUUCUCUAGGAAUCUAUGUAGGCGAUGGAAAAGUCUUUCAUUUCACUCGCAGAGGUGGUUUAGAAAUUGGAGCCGGAACUUUUUUAGACAUAAACAUCGAAUUUUCAGCUCCGAACCGGAACCCAUGUCUUAAUUGUGGAGAUCAAUCGAAUCUCGAAGGUGUAAUCUCUUCUUGCCUUAAGGGCACAGAGAGAAGCAACACAACUUUCUUCAAUUAAUGGCUCAAAUCAAUGGAAUUUCCUCCUCCGCCGUAGAGAUACAAACGCCUCCAUAACUUCACCUUACCUUAUCUCCGAUGGGGCCAGCAGAGAUUCUUCAGGUGCGUCAAGCUCUCACACCACCGAUCUCCUUCUUCAUUUCAUUCUUCUUUUUCCAGAUCUUAUUCCUUUUCCAGAUCAAUGAAUCUCGUUGGAACGUUUGAUUACACGAAGAUGUGCCAUUUUCCUGUAAAGAUAGUUAUUUUUGUUUAGUUUAAUUACGAAGCUUGUACAUAUGCUCCACGUCUGCCAUAGCUGAGAAUUCCACACCACUUUAUGUGCUUUGGUAUCUUCUGUUUAGGAAUAUAGUUAGCUAUAUGGAUGAGUCUCUAUGGUUGAUUGUAUGGACGAGAUUAGAAGAACACCUCUGACGCCGUAAGAUGAAAUGAGAGCUGGAAUGAAAAACAUUGGGAUUGAUGAGCAUGUCCCUUACAAUGCCCCAGUGAUUCAGUUUCUUUGUGGAUGGGUGGUGAUCGUGAUGUCGCCUAUGCUAAGUGGAAUUUCAUGGUACAACUUGUCUUCAGUGGAGGUUGGUAUCAUUACUAGUGGCUCACUUUACGGUGCCUUGAUUGGAUCCAUUGUGGAAAGGAAGUUAUGUUACUUCUCUACAUACUCCACACAAAUGUGAACAUGUGGAUAUCGCAUCUUCUUGUCAACUAUCUUCGGUUUUUCAGUUUAUCAUUUCAAUAGU